Molecule: long non-coding RNA, 253 nt
Filed under: Lathyrus oleraceus (garden pea)
Lineage: Eukaryota; Viridiplantae; Streptophyta; Magnoliopsida; Fabales; Fabaceae
Description: Pisum sativum (pea) long non-coding RNA (PSAT_LNC013627)
Source: RNAcentral
UUAAACCAGUCUUCAAUAUACCUAAUCCAGUGGUUGUUCAAAGGCCUAGUCCUUUUCUUUUUGAGAAUACUAAAGCAGUUCCUUGGAAGUAUGAUACGAUUGUGGUUAACCAAAGGUCUGAGAAAGUAGGUCCAAAAAAAGGUAUAAAGAUUGCAAGCACUGAUAUAGCAGGGGGGAGCAGAAUGACCCACAGUGGUCGCAUUUAUACCCCUCAGUUCAACUUGGCUCCGCCAAUUCCACAAAAAAAAACCAC